UACGAAGGGGGCUAGCGUUGUUCGGAUUUACUGGGCGUAAAGCGCGUGUAGGCGGGCCGUUAAGUUGGGGGUGAAAUCCCGGAGCUCAACUCCGGAACUGCCUCCAAAACUGGCGGCCUGGAGCAGAGGAGAGGCGAGCGGAAUUCCGAGUGUAGAGGUGAAAUUCGUAGAUAUUCGGAGGAACACCAGUGGCGAAGGCGGCUCGCUGGACUCUUGCUGACGCUGAGACGAGAAAGCGUGGGGAGCAAACAGG
RNAcentral lists this ribosomal RNA (253 nucleotides) under uncultured bacterium. RNAcentral describes it as "partial 16S ribosomal RNA". It matches the Rfam family "Bacterial small subunit ribosomal RNA", at positions 524 to 776 of the family's 1533-position model. The record is from RNAcentral.